This 417-nucleotide long non-coding RNA is filed under the name Sparus aurata (gilthead seabream). RNAcentral describes it as "lncRNA (ENSSAUG00010022284.1)". The record is from RNAcentral. Lineage: Eukaryota; Metazoa; Chordata; Actinopteri; Spariformes; Sparidae.
GCAGGCAAUAAACUGAAAAACACAGAUUCGAGAGGCAACCAGGAAGAAACACAGCACAAAGAGGAAGAGUGAACCACAAUGAUACUCAGUAGAGCGCCUACCUACACCGAGGCCACAAGUCGUCUUUAUCUGCAUCAAACUGUACUGUAGAUACCAUCAAGGUGAGAAAGUUUGCAUUCUCACAGAGCAAAGUUUCUGCACAAAGGAUCGAGAAAGAACUCACAGCCUGGAGUUAAUGAUCUUCACUGGCUGUUAAAGAGAUGUGAAGCCUGCUGGAUCGUGUCUGUGCAGAUCUUUAACUCACAAAGGUUUGAACACGGACCGGCUUCUUUAUGUGAUAUUAAGAGAUAUUCUUGGUCAUAGAGAUAUAUUGGUUAUUUUCCAGUAACACUCUUUUAUCUCUAUUGUAUUUUUCCA